Leptopilina boulardi is the source of this 1894-nucleotide long non-coding RNA. RefSeq lists it as uncharacterized. The transcript has 4 exons. Lineage: Eukaryota; Metazoa; Arthropoda; Insecta; Hymenoptera; Figitidae. The record is from RefSeq and is a predicted model, not a curated record.
AAAUUACAAUAAAAUAGUGUGCCUAAGAAAAAUUGAAUUUUUUUGGGAACUUUUUUAUGAUUUUGGAUUUUUGGGUUGGAUGACUUUUAGGUGGUAACAGGUGUCUUCCUCUACUCGUAUUUGGCUGUCAAUUUUUUUCUACACUUUUAGGAGUAUUUUGUGCAAGAAAUUACAAUAAAAUAGUGUGCCUAAGAAAAAUUGAAUUUUUUUCGGAACUUUUUUAUGAUUUUGGAUUUUUGGGUUGGAUGACUUUUAGGUGGUAACAGGUGUCUUCCUCUACUCGUAUUUGGCUGUCAAUUUUUUUCUACACUUUUAGGAGUAUUUUGUGCAAGAAAUUACAAUAAAAUAGUGUGCCUAAGAAAAAUUGAAUUUUUUUGGGAACUUUUUUAUGAUUUUGGAUUUUUGGGUUGGAUGACUUUUAGGUGGUAACAGGUGUCUUCCUCUACUCGUAUUUGGCUGUCAAUUUUUUUCUACACUUUUAGGAGUAUUUUGUGCAAGAAAUUACAAUAAAAUAGUGUGCCUAAGAAAAAUUGAAUUUUUUUGGGAACUUUUUUAUGAUUUUGGAUUUUUGGGUUGGAUGACUUUUAGGUGGUAACAGGUGUCUUCCUCUACUCGUAUUUGGCUGUCAAUUUUUUUCUACACUUUUAGGAGUAUUUUGUGCAAGAAAUUACAAUAAAAUAGUGUGCCUAAGAAAAAUUGAAUUUUUUUGGGACCUUUUUUGUGAUUUUAGAUUUUUGGGUUGGAUGACGUUUAGGUGGUAACAGGUGUCUUCCUCUACUCGUAUAUGGCUGUCAAUUUUUUUCUACACUUUUAGGAGUAUUUUGUGCAAGAAAUUACAAUAAAAUAGUGUGCCUAAGAAAAAUUGAAUUUUUUUGGGAACUUUUUUAUGAUUUUGGAUUUUUGGGUUGGAUGACUUUUAGGUGGUAACAGGUGUCUUCCUCUACUCGUAUUUGGCUGUCAAUUUUUUUCUACACUUUUAGGAGUAUUUUGUGCAAGAAAUUACAAUAAAAUAGUGUGCCUAAGAAAAAUUGAAUUUUUUUGGGAACUUUUUUAUGAUUUUGGAUUUUUGGGUUGGAUGACUUUUAGGUGGUAACAGGUGUCUUCCUCUACUCGUAUUUGGCUGUCAAUUUUUUUCUACACUUUUAGGAGUAUUUUGUGCAAGAAAUUACAAUAAAAUAGUGUGCCUAAGAAAAAUUGAAUUUUUUUGGGAACUUUUUUAUGAUUUUGGAUUUUUGGGUUGGAUGACUUUUAGGUGGUAACAGGUGUCUUCCUCUACUCGUAUUUGGCUGUCAAUUUUUUUCUACACUUUUAGGAGUAUUUUGUGCAAGAAAUUACAAUAAAAUAGUGUGCCUAAGAAAAAUUGAAUUUUUUUGGGAACUUUUUUAUGAUUUUGGAUUUUUGGGUUGGAUGACUUUUAGGUGGUAACAGGUGUCUUCCUCUACUCGUAUUUGGCUGUCAAUUUUUUUCUACACUUUUAGGAGUAUUUUGUGCAAGAAAUUACAAUAAAAUAGUGUGCCUAAGAAAAAUUGAAUUUUUUUGGGAACUUUUUUAUGAUUUUGGAUUUUUGGGUUGGAUGACUUUUAGGUGGUAACAGGUGUCUUCCUCUACUCGUAUUUGGCUGUCAAUUUUUUUCUACACUUUUAGGAGUAUUUUGUGCAAGAAAUUACAAUAAAAUAGUGUGCCUAAGAAAAAUUGAACUUUUUUGGGAACUUUUUUAUGAUUUUGGAUUUUUGGGUUGGAUGACUUUUAGGUGGUAACAGGUGUCUUCCUCUACUCGUAUUUGGCUGUCAAUUUUUUUCUACACUUUUAGGAGUAUUUUGUGCAAGAAAUUACAAUAAAAUAGUGUGCCUAAGAAAAAUUGAAUUUUUUUGGGAACUUUUUUAUGAUUUUUGAU